GCACCAGUAGCUCAACGGAUAGAGCAAUGGCCUCCGGAGCCAUGUGAGGAAGUUCGACUCUUCUCUGGUGCA
Molecule: transfer RNA, 72 nt
Filed under: Lachnospiraceae bacterium
Lineage: Bacteria; Bacillati; Bacillota; Clostridia; Lachnospirales; Lachnospiraceae
Description: tRNA-Arg
Rfam family: tRNA
About the family: Transfer RNA (tRNA) molecules are approximately 80 nucleotides in length. Their secondary structure includes four short double-helical elements and three loops (D, anti-codon, and T loops).
Source: RNAcentral